This 482-nucleotide ribosomal RNA is filed under the name uncultured bacterium. RNAcentral's name for it is "SSU rRNA". It matches the Rfam family "Bacterial small subunit ribosomal RNA", at positions 26 to 523 of the family's 1533-position model. The record is from RNAcentral.
AGGACGAACGCUGGCGGCGUGCUUAACACAUGCAAGUCGAGCGGUGAUCCUCCUUCGGGAGGUGAUCAGCGGCGAACGGGUGAGUAACACGUGGGCAACCUGCCCCUCACACUGGGAUAACCUCGGGAAACCGGGGCUAAUACCGGAUACGACCUCGAGCGGCAUCUCUUGAGGUGGAAAGCUCCGACGGUGAGGGAUGGGCCCGCGGCCUAUCAGCUUGUUGGUGGGGUAAUGGCCUACCAAGGCGACGACGGGUAGCCGGCCUGAGAGGGCGACCGGCCACACUGGGACUGAGACACGGCCCAGACUCCUACGGGAGGCAGCAGUGGGGAAUAUUGCGCAAUGGGCGAAAGCCUGACGCAGCGACGCCGCGUGAGGGAUGAAGGCCUUCGGGUUGUAAACCUCUUUCAGCAGGGACGAAGCGAAAGUGACGGUACCUGCAGAAGAAGCACCGGCUAACUACGUGCCAGCAGCCGCGGUAA